GUUGGCGCUCCGCCCCCCUCGCUUUCAGUGCGAUGGACAUGCGUCUCGAGAGCCUCAUGUUGGCGCUCCGCCCCCCUCGCUUUCGGUGCGAUGGCCAUGCGUCUCGAGAGCCUCAUGUUGGCGCUCCGCUCCCCUCGCUUUUCGUGCUAUAUCCAUUCUUCUCGAAAAUGCAACCUACAGUACUCUUCACGGGAACCACAGCUACUUCUGGUAGGCAUCUGCAGCGAGCGCGUGACAGAAGAGGCCAGAACGCAGCGGUGAAGUUUCAGUCAGCAACCCACAUUGACCUCAACCUCAGGAGCCUCCAGCCUCAAUUCUCUCAGAUCGGAUUGUUGUUCAUCACCUCAAAUGUUAGAAUCACAAGCAUGUGCUCUCGCAGCCAGCUAGACACUUCAAAUAACGAUGACUAA
RNAcentral lists this long non-coding RNA (410 nucleotides) under Cricetulus griseus (Chinese hamster). RNAcentral's name for it is "lncRNA (ENSCGRG00000025270.1)". Lineage: Eukaryota; Metazoa; Chordata; Mammalia; Rodentia; Cricetidae. The record is from RNAcentral.